ACUAAGCGUACACGGUGGAUGCCUAGGCAGUCAGAGGCGAUGAAGGGCGUGCUAAUCUGCGAAAAGCGUCGGUAAGGUGAUAUGAACCGUUACAACCGGCGAUACCCGAAUGGGGAAACCCAGUGUGUUUCGACACACUAUCAUGUCAUGAAUACAUAGUGGCAUGAGGCGAACCGGGGGAACUGAAACAUCUAAGUACCCCGAGGAAAAGAAAUCAACCGAGAUUCCCCCAGUAGCGGCGAGCGAACGGGGAGGAGCCCAGAACCUGAAUCGGCUUGUGUGUUAGUGGAAGCGUCUGGAAAGUCGCGCAGCAAAGGGUGAUAGCCCCGUACACUAAAAUGCACAGGUCGUGAGUUCGAUGAGUAGGGCGGGACACGUGACAUCCUGUCUGAAUAUGGGGGGACCAUCCUCCAAGGCUAAAUACUCCUGACUGACCGAUAGUGAACCAGUACCGUGAGGGAAAGGCGAAAAGAACCCCGGCGAGGGGAGUGAAAUAGAACCUGAAACCGUGUACGUACAAGCAGUGGGAGCACCUUCGUGGUGUGACUGCGUACCUUUUGUAUAAUGGGUCAGCGACUUAUAUUUUGUAGCAAGGUUAACCGUAUAGGGGAGCCGUAGGGAAACCGAGUCUUAACUGGGCGAAUAGUUGCAAGGUAUAGACCCGAAACCCGGUGAUCUAGCCAUGGGCAGGUUGAAGGUUGGGUAACACUAACUGGAGGACCGAACCGACUAAUGUUGAAAAAUUAGCGGAUGACUUGUGGCUGGGGGUGAAAGGCCAAUCAAACCGGGAGAUAGCUGGUUCUCCCCGAAAGCUAUUUAGGUAGCGCCUCGUGAACUCAUCUUCGGGGGUAGAGCACUGUUUCGGCUAGGGGGCCAUCCCGGCUUACCAAACCGAUGCAAACUCCGAAUACCGAAGAAUGUUAUCACGGGAGACACACGGCGGGUGCUAACGUCCGUCGUGAAGAGGGAAACAACCCAGACCGCCAGCUAAGGUCCCAAAGUCAUGGUUAAGUGGGAAACGAUGUGGGAAGGCAUAGACAGCCAGGAUGUUGGCUUAGAAGCAGCCAUCAUUUAAAGAAAGCGUAAUAGCUCACUGGUCGAGUCGGCCUGCGCGGAAGAUGUAACGGGGCUAAACCAUGCACCGAAGCUGCGGCAGCGACGCUUAGGCGUUGUUGGGUAGGGGAGCGUUCUGUAAGCCGUUGAAGGUGGCCUGUGAGGGUUGCUGGAGGUAUCAGAAGUGCGAAUGCUGACAUAAGUAACGAUAAAGCGGGUGAAAAGCCCGCUCGCCGGAAGACCAAGGGUUCCUGUCCAACGUUAAUCGGGGCAGGGUGAGUCGACCCCUAAGGCGAGGCUGAAAAGCGUAGUCGAUGGGAAACAGGUUAAUAUUCCUGUACUUGGUGUUACUGCGAAGGGGGGACGGAGAAGGCUAGGCUAGCCGGGCGACGGUUGUCCCGGUUUAAGCGUGUAGGGGGUGUGACCUGGUAAAUCCGGUUGCAUAUCAACCCUGAGGCGUGAUGACGAUGCACUACGGUGCAGAAGUAGUUGAUGCCCUGCUUCCAGGAAAAGCCUCUAAGCUCCAGGUAACAUUAAAUCGUACCCCAAACCGACACAGGUGGUCAGGUAGAGAAUACCAAGGCGCUUGAGAGAACUCGGGUGAAGGAACUAGGCAAAAUGGUGCCGUAACUUCGGGAGAAGGCACGCUGGCAUGUAGGUGAAGUCCCUUGCGGAUGGAGCUGAAGCCAGUCGAAGAUACCAGCUGGCUGCAACUGUUUAAUAAAAACACAGCACUGUGCAAACACGAAAGUGGACGUAUACGGUGUGACGCCUGCCCGGUGCUGGAAGGUUAAUUGAUGGGGUCAGCCGCAAGGCGAAGCUCUUGAUCGAAGCCCCAGUAAACGGCGGCCGUAACUAUAACGGUCCUAAGGUAGCGAAAUUCCUUGUCGGGUAAGUUCCGACCUGCACGAAUGGCGUAAUGAUGGCCAGGCUGUCUCCACCCGAGACUCAGUGAAAUUGAACUCGCUGUGAAGAUGCAGUGUACCCGCGGCAAGACGGAAAGACCCCGUGAACCUUUACUAUAGCUUGACACUGAACAUUGAGCCUUGAUGUGUAGGAUAGGUGGGAGGCUUUGAAGCGUGGACGCCAGUCUGCGUGGAGCCAUCCUUGAAAUACCACCCUUUAAUGUUUGAUGUUCUAACUCGGCCCCAUAAUCUGGGGUGAGGACAGUGUCUGGUGGGUAGUUUGACUGGGGCGGUCUCCUCCCAAAGAGUAACGGAGGAGCACGAAGGUUAGCUAAUCACGGUCGGACAUCGUGAGGUUAGUGCAAAGGCAUAAGCUAGCUUGACUGCGAGAGUGACGGCUCGAGCAGGUACGAAAGUAGGUCUUAGUGAUCCGGUGGUUCUGAAUGGAAGGGCCAUCGCUCAACGGAUAAAAGGUACUCCGGGGAUAACAGGCUGAUACCGCCCAAGAGUUCAUAUCGACGGCGGUGUUUGGCACCUCGAUGUCGGCUCAUCACAUCCUGGGGCUGAAGUAGGUCCCAAGGGUAUGGCUGUUCGCCAUUUAAAGUGGUACGCGAGCUGGGUUUAGAACGUCGUGAGACAGUUCGGUCCCUAUCUGCCGUGGGCGUUGGAAGAUUGAGAGGGGUUGCUCCUAGUACGAGAGGACCGGAGUGAACGCACCACUGGUGUUCGGGUUGUCAUGCCAAUGGCAUUGCCCGGUAGCUAAGUGCGGAAAAGAUAAGCGCUGAAAGCAUCUAAGCGCGAAACUUGCCUCAAGAUGAGUCUUCCCUGGGCCUUUAAGGCCCCUGAAGGAACGUUUAAGACUAAGACGUUGAUAGGCUGGGUGUGUAAGUGCAGCGAUGCAUUGAGCUAACCAGUACUAAUGAUCCGUGAGGCUUAACC
This 2897-nucleotide ribosomal RNA is filed under the name Serratia marcescens. RNAcentral describes it as "bacterial LSU rRNA". It matches the Rfam family "Bacterial large subunit ribosomal RNA". The record is from RNAcentral. Lineage: Bacteria; Pseudomonadati; Pseudomonadota; Gammaproteobacteria; Enterobacterales; Yersiniaceae.